UGGUCAAAUACCUCAAGUUAGGGGUGGGCAUAAUACCGGCCGAACCGAAAAAACCCGCCGAACCAUGAAUUUUAAUUUUUCGAUUUCGGUUAUUCGGUCGGAGUAUAGUUUUUAAAUUAUUAAAUUUCAAUUUUUUGGUGCGGUUUACGAUUUUGGUGUUUCGAUUUUCGGUUACACCGAAAAACCAAAAUUUUGGGUAUUAGUUGAGAAAAAUAGGUUUGAAUAUACGGGUUCUUUUGAGAGUUCAAAACUUAUUACCCAUCUGAAGGCUGAAGCCCAAUAGUUCAAUACCCAUUUGAAGCCCACCCAAUUUAUCCAAACCUAAGACUUAGUCUUACUGAUAGUCUGAUACGUUCCCAAACCUAAAUCAAAAAUUAGAUUUAGGGUUCCUCUCACCUCUGUGCGACUGCUGCCUUCUUCCUCAGCUCGACUAUGACACCUUCUUCCUCAGCUCGUCGCUCAUCCUUCUUCCUUAGGAACAUGGAUUUGACGGGUUUCAUUAAUCUCUCAACAAUUUUCUAUGUUCUGUUUGGACUUGAAAGGUUAGCUUGUUUGUGAAAUCCAGUAGUUCGUAUAUUGCUAGCUUCUUGGACUUGAAAGGUUAAUUGUUAUAUUGUGAAAUCCUGCUAGUGGAUGCUGCCAGAAGUUAAUUGUUAUUUUGUUAAUUGUUAUUUUGUUCAUGUUGCUAGUGGACUUGAAAGGUUAAUACCUGAUUGAUGAAGCAACAGCUGCAGCAACUCUGAACAUUUUCCAAUAAUUUCAAUGUGUUAAUUGAUAAAAUAGGAGCAAAAUUGCAUAUUUCAGAGUAAGAGAAAAUGGGAGAAUUGAGAAGAAACCCAUAACUGAUACAUAAGUUCUUCACGCUCUCACUGUUUCGUGUUUUAAUGCUUUCCGUAGGGUUUAAGGUUUAACUUUAACAAU
Nicotiana tabacum (common tobacco) is the source of this 921-nucleotide non-coding RNA. Lineage: Eukaryota; Viridiplantae; Streptophyta; Magnoliopsida; Solanales; Solanaceae. The record is from RefSeq and is a predicted model, not a curated record.